RNAcentral lists this ribosomal RNA (975 nucleotides) under Psychrobacter faecalis. Its description in RNAcentral is "bacterial SSU rRNA". It matches the Rfam family "Bacterial small subunit ribosomal RNA", at positions 106 to 1079 of the family's 1533-position model. The record is from RNAcentral. Lineage: Bacteria; Pseudomonadati; Pseudomonadota; Gammaproteobacteria; Moraxellales; Moraxellaceae.
GUGAGUAAUACUUAGGAAUCUACCUAGUAGUGGGGGAUAGCUCGGGGAAACUCGAAUUAAUACCGCAUACGACCUACGGGAGAAAGGGGGCAACUUGUUGCUCUCGCUAUUAGAUGAGCCUAAGUCGGAUUAGCUAGAUGGUGGGGUAAAGGCCUACCAUGGCGACGAUCUGUAGCUGGUCUGAGAGGAUGAUCAGCCACACCGGGACUGAGACACGGCCCGGACUCCUACGGGAGGCAGCAGUGGGGAAUAUUGGACAAUGGGGGCAACCCUGAUCCAGCCAUGCCGCGUGUGUGAAGAAGGCCUUUUGGUUGUAAAGCACUUUAAGCAGUGAAGAAGACUCCAUGGUUAAUACCCAUGGACGAUGACAUUAGCUGCAGAAUAAGCACCGGCUAACUCUGUGCCAGCAGCCGCGGUAAUACAGAGGGUGCAAGCGUUAAUCGGAAUUACUGGGCGUAAAGCGAGCGUAGGUGGCUUGAUAAGUCAGAUGUGAAAGCCCCGGGCUUAACCUGGGAACGGCAUCUGAUACUGUUAGGCUAGAGUAGGUGAGAGGAAGGUAGAAUUCCAGGUGUAGCGGUGAAAUGCGUAGAGAUCUGGAGGAAUACCGAUGGCGAAGGCAGCCUUCUGGCAUCAUACUGACACUGAGGUUCGAAAGCGUGGGUAGCAAACAGGAUUAGAUACCCUGGUAGUCCACGCCGUAAACGAUGUCUACUAGUCGUUGGGUCCCUUGAGGACUUAGUGACGCAGCUAACGCAAUAAGUAGACCGCCUGGGGAGUACGGCCGCAAGGUUAAAACUCAAAUGAAUUGACGGGGGCCCGCACAAGCGGUGGAGCAUGUGGUUUAAUUCGAUGCAACGCGAAGAACCUUACCUGGUCUUGACAUAUCUAGAAUCCUGCAGAGAUGCGGGAGUGCCUUCGGGAAUUAGAAUACAGGUGCUGCAUGGCUGUCGUCAGCUCGUGUCGUGAGAUGUUGGG